CCCUUAGAUGUCCUGGGCUGCACGCGCGCUACACUGAUGUGUCCAGUAAGCACCUAACCUCUUCUGAAAGGAACGGGUAACCUUUGCAAAGCACAUCGUGAUGGGGAUAGAUUAUUGCAAUUAUUAGUCUUGAACGAGGAAUUCCUAGUAAGCACAAGUCAUCAGCUUGUGUUGAUUACGUCCCUGCCCUUUGUACACACCGCCCGUCGCUCCUACCGAUUGAAUGUUCCGGUGAGCUCUUCGGACUGCGCGGUCUGCAGUUUCUGCGUUCCGUGCGGAAAGUUGCGCAAACCUUAACAUUUAGAGGAAGGAGAAGUCGUAACA
Molecule: ribosomal RNA, 324 nt
Filed under: uncultured eukaryote
Lineage: Eukaryota
Description: partial 18S ribosomal RNA
Rfam family: Eukaryotic small subunit ribosomal RNA
Source: RNAcentral